GUAGUCUCGCACAGAUGCAUAUCAAUAAGCGGAGGAAAAGAAACUAACAAGGAUUCCCCUAGUAACGGCGAGUGAAGCGGGAAGAGCUCAAAUUUGAAAUCUUAAAGGGUUUCCCUUUACGAAUUGUAGUUUAAAGAAGUGUUUUCUGUUGAGGUUUUGGUAGAAGUUCUUUGGAAUAGGACAUCAUAGAGGGUGAGAAUCCCGUAUUUGACCUUUACUUUCAACUUUGUGAUACACUUUCAAAGAGUCGGAUUGUUUGGGAAUGCAGUCCAAAAUGGGUGGUAAAUUUCAUCUAAAGCUAAAUAUUGGCGAGAGACCGAUAGCGAACAAGUACCGUGAGGGAAAGAUGAAAAGAACUUUGAAAAGAGAGUUAAACAGUACGUGAAAUUGUCAAAAGGGAAGCGUUUGACACCAGUGUUGUUUUUCUGAAAAUCAAUUAAAGAACUGUUUAUGCUAAGUUGUUUAGACUUUAUCAGCUAAUCUGUUUAGUUUUGAGCUUUUCUUUAAUGCACUUUUCAGUUAACAAGUCAACAUCAAUUUCUUUUGCUGUAAAAAAGCUUGAGGAAGGUGGCUUGAGAUUCGUCUUAAGUGUUUAUAGCCUCUUGCCUAUGCAGUCGGAGAGAUUGAGGUCUGCAGCGUAGAUCCUUCGGGGCUAAAUGCAUUUGUGCUAAGUUAUAACAUUUUAUAGACAACUUGUUGACUAUGAUUUGUCUUGUAGCUUACUCGCUUAUGUUAUUUACCUACGCUUAGGAUGUUGAUCUGUAGUGCGUGCGC
RNAcentral lists this ribosomal RNA (774 nucleotides) under uncultured Neocallimastigales. Its description in RNAcentral is "partial large subunit ribosomal RNA". It matches the Rfam family "Eukaryotic large subunit ribosomal RNA", at positions 24 to 646 of the family's 3401-position model. The record is from RNAcentral. Lineage: Eukaryota; Fungi; Neocallimastigomycota; Neocallimastigomycetes; Neocallimastigales.